RNAcentral lists this ribosomal RNA (1739 nucleotides) under Kurtzmanomyces nectairei. RNAcentral describes it as "SSU rRNA". It matches the Rfam family "Eukaryotic small subunit ribosomal RNA". The record is from RNAcentral. Lineage: Eukaryota; Fungi; Basidiomycota; Agaricostilbomycetes; Agaricostilbales; Chionosphaeraceae.
CAAAGAUUAAGCCAUGCAUGUCUAAGUAUAAGCAAAUCUAUACUGUGAAACUGCGAACGGCGCRGBAAAUCAGUUAUAGUUUAUUUGAUGGUACUUUACUACAUGGAUAACUGUGGUAAUUCUAGAGCUAAUACAUGCCGAAAAGGCCCUCACGGGGUUGUAUUUAUUAGAUUAAAGACCGUUGGGUGUCAAAACCCAUUGGGUGAAUCAUAAUAACUGCUCGCAGCGUAUGGCCUUGCGCCGACGCGACUUCAUUCAAAUACCUGCCCUAUCAGCUUUUGAUGGUAGUGUAGUGGACUACCAUGGCGGUCACGGGUAACGGGGAAUUAGGGUUCGAUUCCGGAGAGAGGCCUGAGAAACGGCCCUCAUAACUAAGGUUAGCAGCAGGCGCGCAAAUUUAUCCACUCCUCGAUUCGAGGAGAUAGUUGACAAUAAAUAACAAUAGAGGGCUCUUUUGGGUCUUCUAAUUGGAAUGAGAACAAUCUAAAUCCCUUAACGAGGAUCAAUUGGAGGGCAAGUCUGGUGCCAGCAGCCGCGGUAAUUCCAGCUCCAAUAGCGUAUAUCAAAAUUGUUGACGUUAAAAAGCUCGUAGUCGACUUUCGGCCUCAGCCAACCGGUCCGCUCACUGAGUGUGUACUGGAUUUGGUUGGGGCUUUACCUCCUGGUGAGACGGCCUGGCCUUUACUGGUUGGGUCGGGGAACCCGGAACUUUACUUUGAAUAAAUCAGAGUGUUCAAAGCAGGCAUGUUUUGCCCGAAUGUUACAGCAUGGAAUAAUAGAAUAGGAUGUGUGUCCCUAUUGGUCUUUUAGGGGCACCUUAAUGAGAAAUAGGGGCGGCUCGGGGGCAUUUGUAUUCAAUUGCUAGAGGUGAAAUUCUUGGAUUUAUUGAAGACAAACUACUGCGAAAGCAUUUGCCAAGGACGCUUUCAUUGAUCAAGAACGAAGGUCGGGGGAUCGAAAACGAUUAGAUACCGUUGUAGUCUCGACAGUAAACUAUGCCAACCGGCGAUGGGUGGGGCUUUUUUAAUGACCCCAUCUGCAGCCAAAGAGAAAUCUAGAGUGCGGUUCGUGGGGGAGUACGGUCACAAGGCUGAAACUUAAAGGAAUUGACGGAAGGGCACCACCAGGAGUGGAGCCCUGCGGCUUAAUUUGACUCAACACGGGGAAACUCACCAGGUCCAGACACAAUUAGGAUUGACAGAUUGAUAGCUCUUUCUUGAUCUUGUGGUUGGUGGUGCAUGGCCGUUCUUAGUUGGUGGAGUGAUUUGUCUGGUUAAUUCCGAUAACGAACGAGACCUUAACCUGCUAAAUAGCCCGGCCGACUUUGGUUGGCCGCUGGCUUCUUAGAGGGACUAUCGACGUUUAGUCGAUGGAAGUUUGAGGCAAUAACAGGUCUGUGAUGCCCUUAGAUGUUCUGGGCCGCACGCGCGCUACACUGACAGAGCCAGCGAGUCAUUUUUUCCUUGGCCGGAAGGCCUGGGUAAUCUUGUGAAACUCUGUCGUGAUGGGGAUAGAGCAUUGCAAUUAUUGCUCUUCAACGAGGAAUUCCUAGUAAGCGCAAGUCCAUCAGCUUGCGUUGAUUACGUCCCUGCCCUUUGUACACACCGCCCGUCGCUACUACCGAUUGAAUGGCUUAGUGAGGCCUCCGGAUUGGCGCUUGGGAGCUGGCAACGGCACCCGAAUGCUGAGAAGUUGUACAAACUUGGUCAUUUAGAGGAAGUAAAAGUCGUAACAAGGUU